UAUUACUUUCUUUUUUUUAAAGAGGAGCUACUUUAUUAAUUAUUAUUAUUAUUAUGUUUUUAAUGGAGGUAGUGGGGAUUGAAGCCAGGACCUUGUGCAUGCUAAGCACGCGCUCUACCAUUGAGAUACACCCUCCCCCCGCUGACAUAGCUUAAGUUUCCA
Vicugna pacos (alpaca) is the source of this 162-nucleotide non-coding RNA. The record is from RefSeq and is a predicted model, not a curated record. NCBI's taxonomy places the organism in Eukaryota, Metazoa, Chordata, Mammalia, Artiodactyla, Camelidae.